AAUUAAGGAUGCUGCUGUCCUUACAAAAGAUCUGAUACAGGAUGCCGCGCAGAACGACCGAAGCAGCGAUGACGAUGGCGAAGCGUACAGGAUCGA
RNAcentral lists this non-coding RNA (96 nucleotides) under Vaucheria litorea. Lineage: Eukaryota; Xanthophyceae; Vaucheriales; Vaucheriaceae. The record is from RNAcentral.